RNAcentral lists this ribosomal RNA (503 nucleotides) under uncultured bacterium. RNAcentral's name for it is "partial 16S ribosomal RNA". It matches the Rfam family "Bacterial small subunit ribosomal RNA", at positions 29 to 507 of the family's 1533-position model. The record is from RNAcentral.
AACGAACGCUGGCGGCGUGCCUAACACAUGCAAGUCGAACGAGAAAGGGGCUUCUGCUCCGAGUAAAGUGGCGCACGGGUGGGUAACACGUGGGUAACCUGCCUCUAAGAUUGGGAUAACUCGUCGAAAGAUGAGCUAAUACCGAAUAAGACCACAGUUCCCGCGGGAACAGGGGUCAAAGGUAGCCUCUGCUUGCAAGCUAUCACUUAGAGAUGGGCCUGCGCACCAUUAGCUAGUUGGUAGGGUAACGGCCUACCAAGGCAAAGAGGGUUAGCUGGUCUGAGAGGAUGAUCAGCCACACUUGAACUGAGACACGGUCCAGACUCCUUAGGGGGGGAGCAGGGGGGAAUAUUGCGCAAUGGGCGAAAGCUUGACGCAGCAACGCCGCGGGAGGUGUGGAGGCUUUCGGGUCGUAAAGGUCUGUCGGGAGGAACGAAUGCUCCUGAGGUUAACAGCCUCGGGAGGUGACGGUACCUUCAAAGGAAGCACCGGCUAACUCUGUG